UUGGGGGUGGGGGGUGGGGCGGCAGCUGGAGAGUGGGGGCUUCCCCAGCGGGAGAGGGAGGACGAUUCUGGAUGGCUUCCCUCCUUGUGGACAGAGUGAGUCUCUGCUAUGAGAAAGUAGAGACGGGGUUUCACCGUCUUAGCCAGGAUGGUCUCGAUCUCCUGACCUCGUGAUCCGCCCGCCUCGGCCUCCCAAAGUGCUAGGACUAACAGGCGUGAGCCACCGCACCCGGCCAAGCUGGAUCUUAAGCUUGCUUACCGGUGACUUGUUGACCUCAUCUUGGCUCAAAGAAGACACGGCCCCAGGUGUUCUACAUACGGCUCGGGAGCCAGCAAGUGCGUAUGAAGCCCCUUCACAUGGCUAGUGGCAUCCUAAGGACCCGGCGACAAUUAGUCAUGGCGUCAUCGAACACCAGGCUGGAGGAGGUCUUGGAUGCCACAGCUCCUUUUGAAUUUCAAAGACGUUCAAAUCCCCAUCUGGCUGUUACACUUUUAGGCUAUUGAGAGUGAAAACAAGCACUGACAUGAACACCCAACCAGCUGCCGGUGACAUCGUCCCCUUCUGAGAUCUGAGGACAUGGAUACCCAACCACCUGCCGGUGACAUCGUCUCCUUCUGAGAUCUGAGGACAUGAACACCCAACCACCUGCCGGUGAUAUCGUCCCCUUCUGAGAUCUGAGGACGUGGAUAUCCAACCACCUGCCGGUGACAUUGUCUCCUUCUGAGAUCUGAGGACAUGGACACCAAACCACCUGCCGGUGACAUUGUCUCCUUCUGAGAUCUGAGGACAUGAACACCAAACCACCUGCCAGUGACAUCGUCCCCUUCUGAGAUCUGAGGACAUGGAUACCCAACCACCUGCCGGUGACAUCGUCUCCUUCUGAGAUCUGAGGACAUGGACACCCAACCACCUGCCGGUGACAUCGUCUCCUUCUGAGAUCUGAGGACAUGAACACCCAACCACCUGCCGGUGAUAUCGUCCCCUUCUGAGAUCUGAGGACGUGGAUAUCCAACCACCUGCCGGUGACAUUGUCUCCUUCUGAGAUCUGAGGACAUGGACACCAAACCACCUGCCGGUGACAUUGUCUCCUUCUGAGAUCUGAGGACAUGAACACCAAACCACCUGCCAGUGACAUCGUCCCCUUCUGAGAUCUGAGGACAUGGAUACCCAACCACCUGCCGGUGACAUCAUCUUCUUCUGAGAUCUGAGGACAUGGACACCCAACCACCUGCCGGUGACAUCGUCUCCUUCUGAGAUCUGAGGACAUGGACACCAAACCACCUGCCGGUGACAUCGUCUCCUUCUGAGAUCUGAGGACAUGAACACCCAACCACCUGCCGGUGAUAUCGUCCCCUUCUGAGAUCUGAGGACGUGGAUAUCCAACCACCUGCCGGUGACAUUGUCUCCUUCUGAGAUCUGAGGACAUGGACACCAAACCACCUGCUGGUGACAUUGUCUCCUUCUGAGAUCUGAGGACAUGAACACCAAACCACCUGCCAGUGACAUCGUCCCCUUCUGAGAUCUGAGGACAUGGAUACCCAACCACCUGCCGGUGACAUCAUCUUCUUCUGAGAUCUGAGGACAUGGACACCCAACCACCUGCCGGUGACAUCGUCUCCUUCUGAGAUCUGAGGACAUGGACACCAAACCACCUGCCGGUGACAUCGUCUCCUUCUGAGAUCUGAGGACAUGAACACCCAACCACCUGCCGGUGACAUCGUCCCCUUCUGAGAUCUGAGGACAUUGAUACCCAGCCACCUGCCGGUGACAUCGUCUCCUUCUGAGAUCUGAGGAUAUGGACACCAAACCACCUGCCGGUGACAUCGUCUCCUUCUGAGAUCUGAGGACAUGAACACCCAACCACCUGCCGGUGACAUCGUCCCCUUCUGAGAUCUGAGGACAUGGAUACCCAACCACCUGCCGGUGACAUCGUCUCCUUCUGAGAUCUGAGGACAUGGACACCCAACCUGCUGCUGGUGACAUCGUUCCCUUCUGAGAUCUGAGGACAUGGACACCAAACCACCUGCCAGUGACAUCGUCUCCUUCUGAGAUCUGAGGACAUGGACACCAAACCUGCUGCCGGUGACAUCGUCCCCUUCUGAGAUCUGAGGACAUGGACACCCAACCACCUGCCGGUGACAUCGUCUCCUUCUGAGGUCUGAGGACAGACACUCACAUGGACACCUAAACACCUGCCGAUGAUAUUGUCUCCUUCUGAAAUCUGAGGACAUGGACACCCAACCAGCUGCUGGUGACAUCAUCUCCUUCUGAGAUCUGAGGACAGACACUCACAUAGACGCCCAAUCAGCUGCUGGUGACAUUGUCUCCUUCUGAAAUCUGAGGGUUGGAACACAUUGGCCUGGCUCAGUGUUUCUCCAUGUGGUUUUGAGACCACCUGAGUUGGAACCGAUAUGGGUUCCCAGCCUCACGCCUGGAGAGCUGGAUUUUGCGAGUGUGAGGUUAGGUCCAGCAUCUGCAUGUGUAACGAGCUCCCAGGUGUUUCGUAGAUGCAUUAGGGCUUGAGAAGCUCCUUUCUAGCACCAUCUUCCUUUUUGCGCAUGAGGGAGUUCAGGUCCAGAGAAAUAAAGCAGCAAGGUUAGUGGCACAGCUGGCGCCCCCUGCUUUCUAGGAAUUUAGAAUAUUAUUGAAGAGAGAGGUAUUAGAACCUGUGAAGUCAAUACAGAGACCUCCAGGCGAGUGGCAUCCUCACUGAAACCACUGACAAGUAUGCUGAAUAGAAAGUGUCAUUUCUCCUGGAAGACCCUCAGUGACCCAGCUGGAGGGUCUCUCCUACUCAUCAGCUGUCCCUCACUCUGCCAUUUCAGCAGCUCUGCUCACCCUGAGCAUGCAGAGAGAGCAGCUUUUAAAUGAGUUCUAAUCCAGACCAGCUUGGCUAGCAUUGUCUGUGUAGAGGUGUGCUAGUAAGUCUAACAACUGGCUCUCUGAGAGAGAGUAGCCCUACCUAACUGGUAGCAUUUGCCACUUCCCAUGGUGUAAAUACUCCCAGCAUGGCCAACUUCAAGCUUACUAAGAGGAUUUCGCUGAUCAUGGUUUUGGGGAGAGAUGUGCAGAUUGACUCCUGCCAGCUAGUAGGAGCCGGCUCCAGCACACCACGGCAUCUGUGUCCAGGAACCAGGCUGAGAUGUGGGAAGGCCAGAGAAGGAGGAGGCUGGCAGAUGCCUGAGGGCUGGGAAGGAUUGCAUCCAGGAGGACGGCCGUGGUGGGCAUCCCUGCAUUGGGGGGCAGCCGGGCCCAAGAUCCAGGGGGACAGAAAGCACAAAUGGUGCUGGGGUUCAGUGCCACACUCACCCUGGGGCAGAGGAGGGUGACACUGGCCCUGCCACCUGACCUCAGCCUCAGGGGCUCCAGAUCCUAGCCAGAGGCCUUGAGUGCUUCCUGCCACAAAGGCAGGGGGUGGCCUGGGAUUUCCUCUCUGAUCGGAGCUGAUGUUUCCCUCCAGGAAACCAUCCCUGCUCACCUUGCUAGGCCUGGGGCAAGUUGGAGUGAAGGGCAGGUCCCUCAGCCUUGCCUUUGAGACCUUACCUUCCACUUCAUUCCCGUCUGUGGCUCUCAUUCCUUCCCCACCCCUGCCCUAUGCUCUGGUGAGAAGGUGCAACCCUGUGAGCCCCCAUAGCAAGGUUCACUCCAGCCGUGCUUUCUGCUUGCUUUUGGUUUGUGAAAACCCUCCACUUUCUUAGAGGCCUUCUGCAAAUGUCAUUUCUUCAUAAGGAUCUUCCUACCCCGCCCGAGCCAGGGAGAUCCCUCCCUUCUCUGAGCCUAGAGCACCAUGUCCCUUCCCUGUAGCCCUGGUGACGUGCACCCUGGAUGGUGGCCCUUCCAGUGACAUGGAGGAUGUUUUCCCUCUACAGACACUGUCUGGUUUUAGGAUCCCGGAGCCAGGCAUCUCGCUCACCCCUGUAGCCACCACAGCAUUCAGCCCUGCAGCCUGGGACCUUGCUAAGGUCUUGCUUUACCCCUAAAAACCAAAAAUAGUGUGUCACCUUUAGCAGUGAUUGCCAACGCCUCUGGAGUGCUGGCUGGGACAGGCAUCUCUAUUUUCAUCCUCACCAAUCCUGCCAGGGAGCUACUCUGGGGAGCCCCAUCCUGCUGAUGAAUGACCGAGUCUCGCAGCGAUGACGGAACCUGCAGGUCCCAGGCUUGGGCCCAGGUCUGUCUUUCUCCAGGGGCCUCACAUCCAUCUCCUUCCCAGCUCUCCUUUUCUGUAAGACUUCACAGAACAGGUUCAAAAUCCAUUUGCUGGCCGAGCACAGUGGUUCACGCCUGUAAUCCAGCACUGUGGGAGGCCUCGAGGCAGGUGGAUCACCUGAGGUCAGGAGUUCGAGACCAGCCUGGCCAACAUGGCGAAACCCCAUCUCUACUAAAA
RNAcentral lists this long non-coding RNA (4384 nucleotides) under Homo sapiens (human). RNAcentral's name for it is "HSALNT0391846". The record is from RNAcentral. Lineage: Eukaryota; Metazoa; Chordata; Mammalia; Primates; Hominidae.